ACUCCUACGGGAGGCAGCAGUGGGGAAUAUUGGACAAUGGGCGAAAGCCUGAUCCAGCAAUUCCGCGUGAAGGAUGACGCAUUACGGUGUGUAAACUUCUUUUUUGGUGAAAGACGAAUGACGGUACACCAAGAAUAAGGAUCGGCUAACUCCGUGCCAGCAGCCGCGGUAAU
This 173-nucleotide ribosomal RNA is filed under the name uncultured bacterium. RNAcentral's name for it is "partial 16S ribosomal RNA". It matches the Rfam family "Bacterial small subunit ribosomal RNA", at positions 335 to 524 of the family's 1533-position model. The record is from RNAcentral.